UAGUAAAGGAUUCGAUUCCCGGCACCGGC
Molecule: non-coding RNA, 29 nt
Filed under: Mus musculus (house mouse)
Lineage: Eukaryota; Metazoa; Chordata; Mammalia; Rodentia; Muridae
Source: RNAcentral